Molecule: ribosomal RNA, 527 nt
Filed under: uncultured bacterium
Lineage: Bacteria
Description: partial 16S ribosomal RNA
Rfam family: Bacterial small subunit ribosomal RNA
Source: RNAcentral
UGGGGAAUUUUGGACAAUGGGCGAAAGCCUGAUCCAGCAAUGCCGCGUGUGUGAAGAAGGCCUUCGGGUUGUAAAGCACUUUUGUCCGGAAAGAAAUCCUUGGCUCUAAUACAGUCGGGGGAUGACGGUACCGGAAGAAUAAGCACCGGCUAACUACGUGCCAGCAGCCGCGGUAAUACGUAGGGUGCAAGCGUUAAUCGGAAUUACUGGGCGUAAAGCGUGCGCAGGCGGUUUGCUAAGACCGAUGUGAAAUCCCCGGGCUCAACCUGGGAACUGCAUUGGUGACUGGCAGGCUAGAGUAUGGCAGAGGGGGGUAGAAUUCCACGUGUAGCAGUGAAAUGCGUAGAGAUGUGGAGGAAUACCGAUGGCGAAGGCAGCCCCCUGGGCCAAUACUGACGCUCAUGCACGAAAGCGUGGGGAGCAAACAGGGUUAGAUACCCUGGUAGUCCACGCCCUAAACGAUGUCAACUAGUUGUUGGGGACUUCAUUUCCUUAGUAACGUAGCUAACGCGUGAAGUUGACCGCCU